Molecule: ribosomal RNA, 494 nt
Filed under: uncultured bacterium
Lineage: Bacteria
Description: partial 16S ribosomal RNA
Rfam family: Bacterial small subunit ribosomal RNA
Source: RNAcentral
GACGAACGCUGGCGGCGUGCUUAACACAUGCAAGUCGAACGGUGAAGCGCCUUCCUUUUUGGUGGGUGUGGAUGAGUGGCGAACGGGUGAGUAACACGUGAGUAACCUGCCCCCUUCUUCUGGAUAACCGCAUGAAAGUGUGGCUAAUACGGGAUAUUCUGGGUCUGUCGCAUGAUGGGUCUGGGAAAGAUAUUGUUUCGGUGGGGGAUGGGCUCGCGGCCUAUCAGCUUGUUGGUGGGGUGAUGGCCUACCAAGGCGGUGACGGGUAGCCGGCCUGAGAGGGUGGACGGUCACACUGGGACGGAGACACGGCCCAGACUCCUACGGGAGGCAGCAGUGGGGAAUAUUGCACAAUGGGCGCAAGCCUGAUGCAGCGACGCCGCGUGAGGGAUGGAGGCCUUCGGGUUGCGAACCUCUUUCGCCAGUGAAGCAGGCCUGCCUCGUUUGUGGGUGGGUUGACGGUAGCUGGAGAAGAAGCGCCGGCUAACUACGUG